RNAcentral lists this ribosomal RNA (257 nucleotides) under uncultured bacterium. RNAcentral describes it as "partial 16S ribosomal RNA". It matches the Rfam family "Bacterial small subunit ribosomal RNA", at positions 524 to 776 of the family's 1533-position model. The record is from RNAcentral.
UACGUAGGGGGCUAGCGUUUGUCCGGAAUCAUUGGGCGUAAAGAGCGUGUAGGCGGUUCGGUAAGUCCGCUGUGAAAGUCCAGGGCUCAACCCUGGAAUGCCAGUGGAAACUGCCGAGCUAGAGUCCGGAAGAGGCGAGUGGAAUUCCUGGUGUAGCGGUGAAAUGCGCAGAUAUCAGGAGGAACACCAAUGGCGAAAAGCAGCUCGCUGGGACGGUACUGACGCUGAGGGACGAAAGCUAGGGGGAGCAAAACAGG